CAAGUCGAGCGGAAAGGCUCCUUCGGGGGUACUCGAGCGGCGAACGGGUGAGUAACACGUGAGUAAUCUGCCCUCCACUUCGGGAUAACUGCCUGAAGGGGUGGCUAAUACCGGGUAUUCUCCUUGCACCGCAUGGUGUGGGGUGGGAAGUUUUUUCGGUGGGGGAUGUGCUCGCGGCCUAUCAGCUUGUUGGUGGGGUAAUGGCCUACCAAGGCUUUGACGGGUAGCCGGCCUGAGAGGGUGACCGGCCACACUGGGACUGAGACACGGCCCAGACUCCUACGGGAGGCAGCAGUGGGAAUAUUGGACAAUGGGCGGAAGCCUGAUCCAGCAACGCCGCGUGAGGGAUGACGGCCUUCGGGUUGUAAACCUCUUUCAGCACAGACGAAGCGCCUGUGAAGGUGGUGACGGUAUGUGCAGAAGAAGCACCGGCCAACUACGUGCCAGCAGCCGCGGUAAUACGUAGGGUGCGAGCGUUGUCCGGAAUUAUUGGGCGUAAAGGGCUCGUAGGCGGUUUGUCGCGUCGGGAGUGAAAUCCACUGGCUUAACUGGUGGCUUGCUUUCGAUACGGGCAGACUGGAGGUAUGCAGGGGAGAACGGAAUUCCUGGUGUAGCGGUGAAAUGCGCAGAUAUCAGGAGGAACACCGGUGGCGAAGGCGGUUCUCUGGGCAUGUCCUGACGCUGAGGAGCGAAAGUGUGGGGAGCGAACAGGAUUAGAUACCCUGGUAGUCCACACCGUAAACGUUGGGCGCUAGGUGUGGGAUCCAUUCCACGGGUUCCGUGCCGCAGCUAACGCAUUAAGUUAUCCGCCU
Molecule: ribosomal RNA, 812 nt
Filed under: uncultured bacterium
Lineage: Bacteria
Description: bacterial SSU rRNA
Rfam family: Bacterial small subunit ribosomal RNA
Source: RNAcentral